Long non-coding RNA from Ixodes scapularis (black-legged tick), 290 nucleotides. RefSeq lists it as uncharacterized. Lineage: Eukaryota; Metazoa; Arthropoda; Arachnida; Ixodida; Ixodidae. The transcript has 3 exons. The record is from RefSeq and is a predicted model, not a curated record.
CAUAGUGAAUAUACUUGUUUCAUUACCUAAUAAGAACUAAAUCUUUUUUGCCUUCCAGCCAGGCUGAUAAUAUUCCGGAACGCCCGCAGGGUGAUGCAGAUGUCCACGGUGCAAGCGGAGGUGGGCUCCAGGAGAGCGAGGCCCUGCCGUGCACUUCAGGUAGCCGCAGGUCUAACCACAAACGUAGCAGGGACGCCCCUAGCCACGAGAUAAUCGAGACCCAGGAGGCUAUUGUGGAACGCCUCGACAGGAUUGUGGUCCUGCAGGAGCAGAUGGUGGCACUGAAGGCA